This 500-nucleotide ribosomal RNA is filed under the name uncultured bacterium. Its description in RNAcentral is "partial 16S ribosomal RNA". It matches the Rfam family "Bacterial small subunit ribosomal RNA", at positions 30 to 523 of the family's 1533-position model. The record is from RNAcentral.
AUUGAACGCUGGCGGAAUGCUUUACACAUGCAAGUCGAACGGCAGCACGGACUUCGGUCUGGUGGCGAGUGGCGAACGGGUGAGUAAUGUAUCGGAACGUGCCCAGUCGUGGGGGAUAACGUAGUGAAAAUUACGCUAAUACCGCAUACGAUCUAUGGAUGAAAGCGGGGGAUCGCAAGACCUCGCGCGACUGUAGCGGCCGAUAUCAGAUUAGGUAGUUGGUCGGGGAAAGGCCCACCAAGCCAACAAUCUGUAGCUGGUCUGAGAGGACGACAAGCCACACUAGAACUGAGACACGGUCCAGCGUCCUGCGGGAGGCAGCAGUGUGGAAUGUUGGACAAUGGUCGAAAGCCUGAUCCAGCCAUUCCGCGUGCAGGAUGAAGGCCCUCGGGUUGUAAACUGCUUUUGUACAGAACGAAAAGGUUUCUACUAAUACUAGGAGCUCAUGACGGUACUGUAAGAAUAAGCACCGGCUAACUACGUGCCAGCCGCCGCAGUAA